CUGCCCAAUCAUGGGAUGAAAAUUUAGACCUCCUCAUGUAUAUGCUACGCAGUGUACCUAAUGAUUCGACUGGUGUAUCACCCUUCGAACUUAUGUUUGGCAGGAAACCACGAACAACGCUAAGUAUGGAGAAAAUGUCCAACCUUUACAACAGGAAAACAAAGCUGCGAGAAUUCAACAUUGGCGACCAGGUUCUGGUUUAUCAUCCGAUACCAGGUGCACCCUUAAGAGAGAAAUUUAUGGGACCCUAUACCAUCGCCAGUAGACCUUCCAAAUUAAACUAUAUAAUCUCCACACCUGACCGACGACGUCCUACUCAAAUGAUGCCAGUGCUACCGGCUAUGGAGCAGUCCUGCUGCAAACAUCCACUCCCACAAUUCCAGAAGAGGACAUAACUCUAGACUCCCUCCUACCCAUCGCCUACUACUCAGGGUAUUUCCGGGGAGCACAGACUCGAUGGGCUACCAUCGAGAAAGAGCUGUAUGCCAUAAUAGCAGCUCUUCAGCAUUUCUCACCAUACCUCGAGGGUCAUCAGAAAGUAAUAAUUUACACAGACCAUCGUCCUUUAGUGUAUUUGGAACG
Molecule: long non-coding RNA, 582 nt
Organism: Macrobrachium nipponense
Lineage: Eukaryota; Metazoa; Arthropoda; Malacostraca; Decapoda; Palaemonidae
Exons: 3
Source: RefSeq, a predicted model, not a curated record